Molecule: transfer RNA, 77 nt
Filed under: Gammaproteobacteria bacterium LSUCC0112
Lineage: Bacteria; Pseudomonadati; Pseudomonadota; Gammaproteobacteria
Description: tRNA-Pro
Rfam family: tRNA
About the family: Transfer RNA (tRNA) molecules are approximately 80 nucleotides in length. Their secondary structure includes four short double-helical elements and three loops (D, anti-codon, and T loops). Further hydrogen bonds mediate the characteristic L-shaped molecular structure. tRNAs have two regions of fundamental functional importance: the anti-codon, which is responsible for specific mRNA codon recognition, and the 3' end, to which the tRNAs corresponding amino acid is attached (by aminoacyl-tRNA synthetases). tRNAs cope with the degeneracy of the genetic code in two manners: having more than one tRNA (with a specific anti-codon) for a particular amino acid; and 'wobble' base-pairing, i.e. permitting non-standard base-pairing at the 3rd anti-codon position.
Source: RNAcentral
CGGAGUGUAGCUCAGUCCGGUAGAGCACCGCCUUCGGGAGGCGGGGGKCGGAGGUUCGAAUCCUCUCACUCCGACCA